This 2590-nucleotide long non-coding RNA is filed under the name Vigna radiata. Its description in RNAcentral is "long non-coding RNA (VRAD_LNC000316)". Lineage: Eukaryota; Viridiplantae; Streptophyta; Magnoliopsida; Fabales; Fabaceae. The record is from RNAcentral.
AAAAUAUAAAAAUACUAUAAAAAUUGAAGUUGAUUUCAUAAUGGAACUUUAGCUCAUUGGCACAGUAAAUUGCUUAAUUGAAACCCACACAAUAGCACAGAACAACAAACCUAGAAUCAGCUUAGUUUAGGCCAUCAGCCACACCAGCAUUGUCAAGAGGUUCAGUAGAAUAACAGAAGAAGAAAGUUCACUGGUCUAAACACAAUGCAAUGAGAACACUAUCUAUUUUACACAUGAUUCAUCAUCAUGGUAGAUUUGAACCACAGCCAUGAAUUAAUUAAUUCCCUGGAGGACCACCAAAGAGGUAUCCCAAGGAAGAUCCACCUCCUGGAGCAGCAUGAACCUUGGUAGAUGGUCGAUCCUGCACCCCAAAACCAAACCAUCAUUAAAAACAAGUUCAAUUGUUUUAGGCAUUCAAAAAAUAAAUUUUAAAUAAAACUGAUACAUUUUAACAUAAAUUGUUUUAUUAGUAAAUAAAAAUGUCUCAUUCUUAAAUUUAUUUAAGCUUGUCUAACCCUUAAGCCACAUCAUUGUUGAGUGUUAACUCAACAAAGAGGAAGCCAGCAGCAGCCUUGCAAAUAUUACAUAAGUUGCACAAAGUACAGUAUUUGUAAACUCAUAUUAUGUCAAGAACAGGAGGUAGGAUUUAUGUUAUUCUUCCAACCAAAAAGGCAAGAGAACCAUGAAAGGUAGCUUAAGCAGAGAGACAUGAACUAUUCUUAAAGUUUUGAAAGCUUUGCGCUAGAAAUUUCUGCUAAAAGGAUCUCCCACAAUGUAGUACUACUGCAAUUAAAAACCAUAGACUUUGUUUUGCCCCUUAAUUUUAUCAACACCAAACUUGUAACUUCACUACUUUUAGCUGGACAAUACUAGGAAAUGCAAGAGGAGGAGACUCCAAAAUGCAUCAAAUUUACUGUGAAAGCUUCUAGUACUUCCUAGGCUAAUGUAAGUGGAGAGAAACAAGAAUAUUUAAAGCAAAGUUGAAGAAAGGGCAGGUUAAAAUUAAAACAAUCAUAAUAGAUAACUUGGAAAGAUAAUUACAGUGAGAAAGUUGCCACAGUUUUGGCCAUCAGCACGAUGGUAAUUGUUUUUGAGACUUCCAGGAAUUCCAGCAGGAAUUUGCUUUUCAACUGGUGCUGGACUUUGCUGCUUUUCAACUGGUGCUGGACUUUGCUGCUUCUCAACUGGUGGUGAAGGAGCACUAGCAUUUUGAGUGCGUGCAGCCUGGUUAGCACUUUGAACAUUGCUGGCAGGCUCCCCACUGCCGAAGAGGUAACCCAAGGAACUCUGGCCACCACCAGCACUCACACCACGACCCAUUUUCCCUCUGUUUGGUGAUGCUAAACAACCAAAAUAGCAGCAUCACACUUUUUGUCACUAGGAAUUUUACAUCCAAAAUUCACAGAAGAACAAAAACAACAGACUCAUAUGCAGCAUAUAUAACCAAGAGCCAUCAGAAAUCAACAAAAAGCAACAACUACCUACAAUUGAUUCCUUAUUUAAACCAGUGAAGUAUUUAUUAUGUACUCCAAUGUAAGUAAUGGGAUUGGUUUUCAAUGAACUCGGAUAAAUAUUUUACAUUUAAAAAAACACAUAAACUUUCAAUGAGCAUACACACAUGAGUAAGCUAAUCAGUUGGUAGAAUGGAAAAUGCAGAUGUCAAAAACGAAAUGAAUAGGGAAAUGGCAAGAUUGAGAAUUGGGAAAAUUUAAAGCUAUGCAUGUAGAGGCCAACAAAAUGAUUUAAAAGGUUUUCACGUCUUACUCAGAAGAGUAAAACCGAUAUAAAUAAAUACUGUUAUUUUCCUAAUUCAUUCUUUAAUUCGUGCAAUUUUAUGUAGAACAUUAACAUUUUAUUUUGACAGAAACAUAGAUCUCAAUUUUAUUAUUGAAGAGGAUCAGACGAAGAGGGCACUCUGUCCUGUUUCUUCUACCCUACAAUGAAAUCAUAAUUUAUUCCGUUGCAUCCCUUUUGUUUUUGCCUUGAGGUGCUUCUUUCAGGACAGAUCAAGCAAAACCAAAAUCAUUCCAGUGCCAGACCCUCCUGAUCUAGCCAUGCUCAAAUUGCAUGGAUUCAAAAACCUUAAAGGCACAAAAUUGAAUAAGAAAACCGAUGGAAUCAGAUGCUAGAUCUCAAGACAAACUACCCAUCAACAAAUCAGAGCUAAAGAAGCCAUUUUUAAUCGAUUCAAUCAUGAAAAACACAAUCUAGAACACCCCAAAACAGGAUUCACAAUCCAGGUCACAACCCACCACUCCAAACUAUUAAGAAACUAACAAAUCUAAACUUGGUAGUAACAAAAAAGCCAAAUUACCACCAACAAAAGAAAUCCAAUAAGCAUGCAGUAAAAAAAUGUGCCAGAAAUUAAAGCACAAAACCAUUUUUUUUUCAAAGAACAUCAUGAGUUAACACGAAACAUUAUCACCGUACAGUAUUAAACAGCACACGAAACACAGAUUACUGAAACCCAGAAAGGAAAUUAGACAAUACAUGAAUGGUAACGAAGCAAGAAGUGAGAUCUGAAUUUUUCGUACCUUUGUUGAUGCUGAGACCACUCACUCACUGAUGGCAACCGAGAGUCGGUGACGUU